ACUGUGCAGUUCAUUUGAGCACCCUGGCUUACGGUCAGGUUUACGUGGGAAACUGACUGCAAAUACUCUUCUGUAAGAACUGACCCUCAAAACACUUCAGCACAACCUACGGUGAUGAGCAGGGAAUAAGCAAGAAACCCUAAUAACAUAGGAUGGAGGAUCUGAAGAGAUAUUGCAGGGGAUAUCUUGAUACAAACAGUAAGUCAGGCAGAUCCAGCGUUAAGGGGAGCAUGAAGAGCCUCACAACGAGCCUACAUGAGGCAGCGGUGCAAGCCUUGAGUGUGCAGUAAGGACCACACUUCCUAGCCACGCUCCAGGGAUAUCCAGGAGUCUAACGACAUUAAGCUUCGGUGACUUAGUACCUUAGCAGGCCUGUCUAAUACCUGCUGCCGUCUUGCAGACUGUCAAAGAUGGUCCCAGAGGGGCUGACAGGCUUCCUGUCGUUAGAACUGAAGAACGCCUGGAAACGCAGCAACAAAUUCUCCCCUCUGUUACACUAGGGGAAAAUCAGAGCAGCUCGGUGGAGUAGCCUGAGAGCAAAAUGUAGACGAUAAAGACUAAAUAUUUCAGGAUUGGCUACCGGUUUUUGGUUAGGCUUCUGUUUCCUUAUCAGUCUCAAGAACCCCCCUGUGAACACUUACUAGUUUAAGAAAUGAAAGUUUUGGAAGCAAUGACAACAGACAAGCUCAUCUGUCAACUAAAAUAACAAUGAUGAAAGUAUUUUGAAAUUUGCCUGCCUUUAUUGAAUUCCUGCAAAUAAAUUACUUGCUAGGAGUUGAGUUGUGUGUGAGUGGGCUUAUAAUUACUAAUUAAUCACAGCCAGCAAUUAGCAUGUCCCAUUUAGUGCAUUUCCUUCAUUUUGUGUUGUUUUUCAUGUUAUUCCAAAAAACUUUAGAAUUAAAAAAAAAAAAAAAAAGAAAGAAAGAAAAAAGCUGCUGAGUGGAAAAAAUAUGUCAUACCUGCUUGGAGCAUGGGUAAACUAGUAUUUAUACACGACUGGUGUGGCCACUCUCCAGCUGAAUGUCUGGACUGAUAGGAGGUUCUAAGCUGCACCACAGGAGCCAAAUGUGCACAGACUUUGCCGUGAACAGUGGUGCAGAGGGCAAAAGGACUGUGCCUCCUCUCCGGCAGGAAACGUGGAUGAGGAUAACCAGCUAAGCAGAAGGAAGCAGGAAUGUUGAGCGCAAGGAGGAAGAUGUAUCACAACCAAAAUGUUAAUCCAAAGAUUACGUCCUUGUAGGUGAUUUCUCUGCUCUGCCGUAAGUGUCACUUCAUUAGUACAAAAGUUAUUCUUUCUGAUGUUAUUCAUUUUUUAAAAGUAAUAAGGAAGAAAUGAUUACUUGAAUAGAAGGGAGAGAUGAAUUUUGCAAGACUGUUGCAGGCACAAAUAACAUCAGGGCACCACAAAUGCUUCAAUUUCACUGUACAGGAUUUACUGGAUAGAGUUGUAUUAUUUGAAUGAUCAAAGGAAACCUUUCAGUUGCUUUGAAUCAAAUUUUAAAGUUACCUUUUUGCCACUGGAAAUUUUGAGUUUUCAGCCUUUUUCCUCAAUGAAAGAAAACAGAUUUCAGUACGUCAGAAUUUCUCUCAGAAUGGAAACAUAGCUUUGCCUUUCCACUGAAGCCACCGAUCAAACUGUCAAGAUGGCUCAUCGCUUAGCGACCUUCCAGAGAACAUUUUUUCAAUCACAAAAAUGAUCAGAACAGUGCAAACCUUCCACGUGGUGGUACACUAGCUAUGGCAGUGCAAAGACCUGCUUUAUACUUUGAACUUCUUUAGGCCUCUGUGACCUGAUCUUUCCGUCAACAAAAUGGGAAUUAAAAUAGCUGCUUCUUCUAAAAGGACUAUGUCAUUGUGUCCUGUAUUUUACACAGUAUUUUACAAUUUCUACGGAGCUGUAUUGCCGAUCCCAUAGGUUUGCUUCCUUCGGCUUCUGGAAGCAGGGACGUCAGUUAAUCCAGGUGCAGUUAUGCAGAGGAUGUGAGUACUAGACCCGCUGAUGACCACAAGAGCAAAAAGAAAUUUUACCUCUUCAGUCAGUGAAGACUUCAUCAAUUAGUACGAGAGACAGAAAUACUAUCACUAAAACCAUGGAGGAAGUCCUGGAAUCUAGGUCCUGUGCAAGUCCCUGAGUCGGUGCCCAGGACUUCAGGAGACUUCAGAAGGCCUCCUACUCUGCUGGAGUGAGC
This is a long non-coding RNA of Rhea pennata, 2189 nucleotides long. RefSeq lists it as uncharacterized. NCBI's taxonomy places the organism in Eukaryota, Metazoa, Chordata, Aves, Rheiformes, Rheidae. The record is from RefSeq and is a predicted model, not a curated record. The transcript has 3 exons.